GCCAACGUGGCGGAACUGGUAGACGCCGCGCUACAGCGCGCCCGGUAGCGGGUGCAGGUUCAACCCCUGUCGUUGGCA
This 78-nucleotide transfer RNA is filed under the name Hyphomonas oceanitis. Its description in RNAcentral is "tRNA-OTHER". It matches the Rfam family "tRNA". From Rfam's summary of the family: Transfer RNA (tRNA) molecules are approximately 80 nucleotides in length. Their secondary structure includes four short double-helical elements and three loops (D, anti-codon, and T loops). Further hydrogen bonds mediate the characteristic L-shaped molecular structure. tRNAs have two regions of fundamental functional importance: the anti-codon, which is responsible for specific mRNA codon recognition, and the 3' end, to which the tRNAs corresponding amino acid is attached (by aminoacyl-tRNA synthetases). tRNAs cope with the degeneracy of the genetic code in two manners: having more than one tRNA (with a specific anti-codon) for a particular amino acid; and 'wobble' base-pairing, i.e. permitting non-standard base-pairing at the 3rd anti-codon position. Lineage: Bacteria; Pseudomonadati; Pseudomonadota; Alphaproteobacteria; Hyphomonadales; Hyphomonadaceae. RNAcentral also lists the same sequence under 1 other name. The record is from RNAcentral.